This is a non-coding RNA of Cinara cedri, 1000 nucleotides long. NCBI's taxonomy places the organism in Eukaryota, Metazoa, Arthropoda, Insecta, Hemiptera, Aphididae. The record is from the annotation of a GenBank genome assembly.
AAUGAUGAUGAAAUCAGAAUUAAGCGAACUAAGUUUCGAAAUUAUAGCUGUCAUGUUAAAUAACACUAUAUUGUUAUUCAUGAAACAAAUAUAUCAUGAUCCAAUGGUUAUUUAUACCUAUUAUAAUCCUAAGGUUUCUGAGUUCAAAAUAAUGUAACGAAUAAGAUUUUUUGAAUUUUUUUCCCUUUUACCUAAACAAGGAAAAAACAAAUGCAUUUUGGAUGUACUUAGAGACCCAAGCCAUUGCUUUCUCGGACAAUUUUAAUCGCAAAAUAUUCCUUGAUAUGUUGUGCAAAUUUUCAUACCAGAAAUCUUCCUCCGAUGUACCUUAUUUUCUGAAAGGAAAUGUUAUCACCAUGAUAAUUUAGAGAAGUCGUUUAUUGAUUUUUCAAGCGGUUUUCAUAACUGGGAAAAACGGAAAAUGUACGAAAUGUAGGUAUUAGCAAAAACAUAUUAUGGCCUUUUUUUUUGUGUACAACUUUUCUACCAGCAAUUUCGCUCCGAUUAAAAAUGAUAGUAUUUUUUCUGAGAGGAAAUCAAAGGUACUUUAGGGAGGUAACUUUUGGAUUUCCAGGAGUUUAUCCCAAUAAAUGGAAAAAAAUCGGGAAAAUCGGUACAAUAUUGGAAAAAAUAUGUAGAACCUAUUUAAUUAUUUUAAUAUAAAAUGACAUAUGUAUUGUUGACAAAGCAUCACUUUCAAAUAAACUCCGUUCAGAAUUGUUUCUUCGUAAACAAUGGUUUAUCGUUGCUUACAGAUAUACAACAAAUUAUCUAUAGGUAACAGUGGCUGCAUCCGUCCCCAUUAUCCUAGGACGUCUUUUUUAUCUUUACUUCAUAUAUAUUAAAUAAGAAUAUACUUUUGUUUUUCAAAUGGGAAACCCUCAUCCCUUUUUGAACAUAGAUUCGAAUAGAGUAUAUUUUUAUAGAAAUUUUGAUAUGCAUUACACUAAUAUCAGAUUUACCGUUUAUGUGUUACAACUGUUUAAAGUUUAGACCGGAG